This 608-nucleotide ribosomal RNA is filed under the name uncultured bacterium. RNAcentral's name for it is "bacterial SSU rRNA". The stretch from base 1 to 524 matches the Rfam family "Bacterial small subunit ribosomal RNA", at positions 338 to 873 of the family's 1533-position model. The record is from RNAcentral.
CCUACGGGAGGCAGCAGUGGGGAAUAUUGGGCAAUGGAGGAAACUCUGACCCAGCGACGCCGCGUGCGGGAUGAAGGCCUUCGGGUUGUAAACCGCUUUCAGCAGGGAAUAAGCGCAAGUGAAGGUACCUGCAGAAGAAGCACCGGCUAACUAUGUGCCAGCAGCCGCGGUAAUACAUAGGGUGCAAGCGUUGUCCGGAAUUAUUGGGCGUAAAGAGCUCGUAGGUGGUUUGUUACGUCGGAUGUGAAAAUCAGGGGCUCAACCCCUGACCUGCAUUCGAUACGGGCAAGCUGGAGUUUGGUAGGGGAGACUGGAAUUCCUGGUGUAGCGGUGGAAUGCGCAGAUAUCAGGAGGAACACCGAUGGUGAAGGCAGGUCUCUGGGCCAAUACUGACACUGAGGAGCGAAAGCGUGGGGAGCGAACAGGAUUAGAUACCCUGGUAGUCCACGCCGUAAACGGUGGGCACUAGUUGUGCGAACCUUCCACGGUUUGUGCGACGCAGCUAACGCAUUAAGUGCCCCGCCUGGGGAGUACGAGCGCGAGAGUAAACGUACGAAGAAGUUAGUACGGCGUUGAGACGNGCCGACGGACGACGACGAGGGAGGAGG